AAAGGAGGUGACAGAAUGGUAAUGUAGUUAGCUUGAAACUAAUUUAUGGGGGUUCGAUUCCUUCCUUCCUUG
This 72-nucleotide transfer RNA is filed under the name Torpedo marmorata (marbled electric ray). RNAcentral's name for it is "tRNA-Ser". It matches the Rfam family "tRNA". From Rfam's summary of the family: Transfer RNA (tRNA) molecules are approximately 80 nucleotides in length. Their secondary structure includes four short double-helical elements and three loops (D, anti-codon, and T loops). Further hydrogen bonds mediate the characteristic L-shaped molecular structure. tRNAs have two regions of fundamental functional importance: the anti-codon, which is responsible for specific mRNA codon recognition, and the 3' end, to which the tRNAs corresponding amino acid is attached (by aminoacyl-tRNA synthetases). tRNAs cope with the degeneracy of the genetic code in two manners: having more than one tRNA (with a specific anti-codon) for a particular amino acid; and 'wobble' base-pairing, i.e. permitting non-standard base-pairing at the 3rd anti-codon position. The record is from RNAcentral. Lineage: Eukaryota; Metazoa; Chordata; Chondrichthyes; Torpediniformes; Torpedinidae.